Molecule: ribosomal RNA, 508 nt
Filed under: Theileria buffeli
Lineage: Eukaryota; Apicomplexa; Aconoidasida; Piroplasmida; Theileriidae
Description: SSU rRNA
Rfam family: Eukaryotic small subunit ribosomal RNA
Source: RNAcentral
UUACCCAAUCCUGACACAGGGAGGUAGUGACAAGAAAUAACAAUACGGGGCUUAAUGUCUUGUAAUUGGAAUGAUGGGAAUUUAAACCUCUUCCAGAGUAUCAAUUGGAGGGCAAGUCUGGUGCCAGCAGCCGCGGUAAUUCCAGCUCCAAUAGCGUAUAUUAAAAUUGUUGCAGUUAAAAAGCUCGUAGUUGAAUUUCUGCUGCAUUACAUAUCUCUUGUUUGAGUUUGUUUUUGUGGCUUAUUUCGGAUUGAUUUUUUCUUUCCGGAUGAUUACUUUGAGAAAAUUAGAGUGCUCAAAGCAGGCUUUUGCCUUGAAUAGUUUAGCAUGGAAUAAUAAAGUAGGACUUUGGUUCUAUUUUGUUGGUUUUAGGUACCAAAGUAAUGGUUAAUAGGAACAGUUGGGGGCAUUCGUAUUUAACUGUCAGAGGUGAAAUUCUUAGAUUUGUUAAAGACGAACUACUGCGAAAGCAUUUGCCAAGGAUGUUUUCAUAAUCAAGAACGAAAGU